ACAAUGAAGAGUUUGAUCCUGGCUCAGGAUGAACGCUAGCUACAGGCUUAACACAUGCAAGUCGAGGGGCAUCAGGAAGAAAGCUUGCUUUCUUUGCUGGCGACCGGCGCACGGGUGAGUAACACGUAUCCAACCUGCCCUUUACUCGGGGAUAGCCUUUCGAAAGAAAGAUUAAUACCCGAUGGUAUAAUGAUUCCGCAUGGUUUCAUUAUUAAAGGAUUCCGGUAAAGGAUGGGGAUGCGUUCCAUUAGGUUGUUGGUGAGGUAACGGCCCACCAAGCCUUCGAUGGAUAGGGGUUCUGAGAGGAAGGUCCCCCACAUUGGAACUGAGACACGGUCCAAACUCCUACGGGAGGCAGCAGUGAGGAAUAUUGGUCAAUGGGCGCUAGCCUGAACCAGCCAAGUAGCGUGAAGGAUGAAGGCUCUAUGGGUCGUAAACUUCUUUUAUAUUAGAAUAAAGUGCAGUAUGUAUACUGUUUUGUAUGUAUAAUAUGAAUAAGGAUCGGCUAACUCCGUGCCAGCAGCCGCGGUAAUACGGAGGAUCCGAGCGUUAUCCGGAUUUAUUGGGUUUAAAGGGAGCGUAGGUGGACUGGUAAGUCAGUUGUGAAAGUUUGCGGCUCAACCGUAAAAUUGCAGUUGAUACUGUCAGUCUUGAGUACAGUAGAGGUGGGCGGAAUUCGUGGUGUAGCGGUGAAAUGCUUAGAUAUCACGAAGAACUCCGAUUGCGAAGGCAGCUCACUGGACUGCAACUGACACUGAUGCUCGAAAGUGUGGGUAUCAAACAGGAUUAGAUACCCUGGUAGUCCACACAGUAAACGAUGAAUACUCGCUGUUUGCGAUAUACAGUAAGCGGCCAAGCGAAAGCAUUAAGUAUUCCACCUGGGGAGUACGCCGGCAACGGUGAAACUCAAAGGAAUUGACGGGGGCCCGCACAAGCGGAGGAACAUGUGGUUUAAUUCGAUGAUACGCGAGGAACCUUACCCGGGCUUAAAUUGCAGUGGAAUGAUGUGGAAACAUGUCAGUGAGCAAUCACCGCUGUGAAGGUGCUGCAUGGUUGUCGUCAGCUCGUGCCGUGAGGUGUCGGCUUAAGUGCCAUAACGAGCGCAACCCUUAUCUUCAGUUACUAACAGGUCAUGCUGAGGACUCUGGAGAGACUGCCGUCGUAAGAUGUGAGGAAGGUGGGGAUGACGUCAAAUCAGCACGGCCCUUACGUCCGGGGCUACACACGUGUUACAAUGGGGGGUACAGAAGGCAGCUACCUGGUGACAGGAUGCUAAUCCCAAAAGCCUCUCUCAGUUCGGAUCGAAGUCUGCAACCCGACUUCGUGAAGCUGGAUUCGCUAGUAAUCGCGCAUCAGCCACGGCGCGGUGAAUACGUUCCCGGGCCUUGUACACACCGCCCGUCAAGCCAUGGGAGCCGGGGGUACCUGAAGUACGUAACCGCAAGGAGCGUCCUAGGGUAAAACUGGUGACUGGGGCUAAGUCGUAACAAGGUAGCCGUACCGGAAGGUGCGGCUGGAACACCUCCUUU
This 1529-nucleotide ribosomal RNA is filed under the name Bacteroides fragilis. RNAcentral describes it as "bacterial SSU rRNA". It matches the Rfam family "Bacterial small subunit ribosomal RNA". The record is from RNAcentral. Lineage: Bacteria; Pseudomonadati; Bacteroidota; Bacteroidia; Bacteroidales; Bacteroidaceae.